AGCGACUUAUAUUCUGUAGCAAGGUUAACCGUAUAGGGGAGCCGGAGGGAAACCGAGUCUUAACCGGGCGUUAAGUUGCAGGGUAUAGACCCGAAACCCGGUGAUCUAGCCAUGGGCAGGUUGAAGGUUGGGUAACACUAACUGGAGGACCGAACCGACUAAUGUUGAAAAAUUAGCGGAUGACCUGUGGCUGGGGGUGAAAGGCCAAUCAAACCGGGAGAUAGCUGGUUCUCCCCGAAAGCUAUUUAGGUAGCGCCUCGUGAAUUCAUCUCCGGGGGUAGAGCACUGUUUCGGCUAGGGGGCCAUCCCGGCUUACCAACCCGAUGCAAACUGCGAAUACCGGAGAAUGUUAUCACGGGAGACACACGGCGGGUGCUAACGUCCGUCGUGAAGAGGGAAACAACCCAGACCGCCAGCUAAGGUCCCAAAGUCAUGGUUAAGUGGGAAACGAUGUGGGAAGGCCCAGACAGCCAGGAUGUUGGCUUAGAAGCAGCCAUCAUUUAAAGAAAGCGUAAUAGCUCACUGGUCGAGUCGGCCUGCGCGGAAGAUGUAACGGGGCUAAACCAU
RNAcentral lists this ribosomal RNA (567 nucleotides) under Salmonella enterica. Its description in RNAcentral is "partial 23S ribosomal RNA". It matches the Rfam family "Bacterial large subunit ribosomal RNA", at positions 623 to 1190 of the family's 2925-position model. Lineage: Bacteria; Pseudomonadati; Pseudomonadota; Gammaproteobacteria; Enterobacterales; Enterobacteriaceae. The record is from RNAcentral.